AGCUUUCUGUAUCCAUGCUGAGAUUUCAUCACGCACCAAACCACAAGGGCUGAUCAGACAUCUAUGACAAGUAAAGCG
RNAcentral lists this microRNA precursor (78 nucleotides) under Schistosoma mattheei. RNAcentral describes it as "mir-3492 microRNA precursor family". It matches the Rfam family "mir-3492 microRNA precursor family". Lineage: Eukaryota; Metazoa; Platyhelminthes; Trematoda; Strigeidida; Schistosomatidae. The record is from Rfam by way of RNAcentral.